This 65-nucleotide transfer RNA is filed under the name Gekko chinensis (Gray's Chinese gecko). RNAcentral describes it as "tRNA-Gly". The record is from RNAcentral. Lineage: Eukaryota; Metazoa; Chordata; Lepidosauria; Squamata; Gekkonidae.
AUUCUUUUAGUAUAUCGUACAAGUGACUUCCAAUCACUAAGUCUCAGAACCCCUGAGGAAGAAUA